GUAGGUGGCAAGCGUUGUCCGGAAUUAUUGGGCGUAAAGCGCGCGCAGGCGGUUCUUUAAGUCUGAUGUGAAAGCCCACGGCUCAACCGUGGAGGGUCAUUGGAAGCUGGAGAACUUGAGUACAGAAGAGGAAAGCGGAAUUCCACGUGUAGCGGUGAAAUGCGUAGAGAUGUGGAGGAACACCAGUGGCGAAGGCGGCUUUCCGGUCUGUAACUGACGCUGAGGCGCGAAAGCGUGGGGAGCAAACAGGGAUUAGAUACCCUGGUAGUCCACGCCGUAAACGAUGAGUGCUAAGUGUUAGGGGGUUUCCGCCCCCUUAGUGCUGCAGCUAACGCAUUAAGCACUCCGCCUGGGGAGUACGGCCGCAAGGCUG
Molecule: ribosomal RNA, 373 nt
Filed under: uncultured organism
Description: partial 16S ribosomal RNA
Rfam family: Bacterial small subunit ribosomal RNA
Source: RNAcentral